This 528-nucleotide ribosomal RNA is filed under the name Microascus gracilis. RNAcentral's name for it is "eukaryotic LSU rRNA". It matches the Rfam family "Eukaryotic large subunit ribosomal RNA", at positions 50 to 582 of the family's 3401-position model. The record is from RNAcentral. Lineage: Eukaryota; Fungi; Ascomycota; Sordariomycetes; Microascales; Microascaceae.
GCGGAGGAAAAGAAACCAACAGGGAUUGCCCCAGUAACGGCGAGUGAAGCGGCAACAGCUCAAAUUUGAAAUCUGGUCCCCCCGCGGGGCCCGAGUUGUAAUUUGAAGAGGAUGCUUCUGGCAAGGUGCCGUCCGAGUUCCCUGGAACGGGACGCCGCAGAGGGUGAGAGCCCCGUACGGUCGGACGCCGAGCCUCUGUGAAGCUCCUUCGACGAGUCGAGUAGUUUGGGAAUGCUGCUCAAAAUGGGAGGUAAACCCCUUCUAAAGCUAAAUACCGGCCAGAGACCGAUAGCGCACAAGUAGAGUGAUCGAAAGAUGAAAAGCACUUUGAAAAGAGAGUUAAAAAGCACGUGAAAUUGUUGAAAGGGAAGCGCUUGCGACCAGACUCGCGCCCGUCGGAUCAGCCGUCGCUCGUCGGCGGCGCACUCCGGCGGGCUCGGGCCAGCAUCAGUUCGCCUCGGGGGGAGAAAGGCGGCGGGAAUGUGGCUCUACGGAGUGUUAUAGCCCGCCGCGUAAUACCCCCGGGCG